Long non-coding RNA from Alligator mississippiensis (American alligator), 726 nucleotides. RefSeq lists it as uncharacterized. The record is from RefSeq and is a predicted model, not a curated record. The transcript is spliced from 2 exons. NCBI's taxonomy places the organism in Eukaryota, Metazoa, Chordata, Crocodylia, Alligatoridae.
CCAGGCUCUCUCUCUGUCCCCCACCAAGCCCGCAGAUGCCACCAGCCAGAGCAAGUAACAAAACCCACUCGGGUGCCCUCUUACUCUGCCUAGCUCUAACUCCCCCUCGCUAGCACACGGAUUCAUUUCUCCGCUUGCAGCGGACGCCCAGCCUGAGCUGCAGGGUGGAAGUGGGGAAGAAGCGGAGCUAGGCAGGGAGUUCAAAGCGGAGGCGGCGGAGCCUACCCCAGCAGAGGCGGCUGCUCCCGAGCGGGCUCUUCGGGGCAGGCGCUGCCUGCGGAGCCACACGGGAGAAAGGCUACGUGGGAAGGCACUGAGCAGCGAGCAGCAUUUUCGGAGUGAGUACUCCUUGAUGAUAGACUUGUGGAGAGACCAGGCAAGUACUACCAGCCCUGGAAAGAGGCAGCCAGGGAGAGGUUCCAGUGCUGCUAGAUCCAGGACACCAGGACAGUUCUCCAGUCAGUGCCUGCCAGCUAAGAGAAACAGAGUGGAGGCUUUCUGCGAAAAGGUGCAUGCUUGGAUGAUUGCCACUAAAGGAAGCACGGCUGAUGAGGGCAUGGGGCUACAUCUGGGAAGCUGAAGGGAGCCACUGGAGGAGUGGCAGCAGGAAGGUACUGUGCAGGGGGGGUGUCCCCUCCUCAAAGAAACUACCUGUGGAUCCCCUGAGGGGUUUGGGGCAGACAGCUUGAUAUGGACAGCAUUACACUAUUUUUUUUCCUUUUGUGA